UGGGGAAUAUUGCACAAUGGGGGAAACCCUGAUGCAGCGACGCCGCGUGAACGAAGAAGGUAUUCGUAUCGUAAAGUUCUGUCCUAUGGGAAGAUAAUGACAGUACCAUAGAAGAAAGCUCCGGCUAAAUACGUGCCAGCAGCCGCGGUAAUACGUAUGGAGCGAGCGUUGUCCGGAAUUAUUGGGCGUAAAGGGUACGCAGGCGGUUUAAUAAGUCGAAUGUUAAAGAUCGGGGCUCAACCCCGUAAAGCAUUGGAAACUGAUAAACUUGAGUAAUGGAGAGGAAAGUGGAAUUCCUAGUGUAGUGGUGAAAUACGUAGAUAUUAGGGGGAAUACCAGUAGCGAAGGCGACUUUCUGGACACAAAAUGACGCUGAGGUACGAAAGCGUGGGGAGCAAACAGG
This 403-nucleotide ribosomal RNA is filed under the name bacterium. RNAcentral describes it as "partial 16S ribosomal RNA". It matches the Rfam family "Bacterial small subunit ribosomal RNA", at positions 355 to 776 of the family's 1533-position model. The record is from RNAcentral.